UACGUAGGGGGCGAGCGUUGUCCGGAUUUAUUGGGCGUAAAGAGCGUGUAGGCGGCUCGAUAAGUCUGCUGUGAAAGUCCAGGGCUCAACCCUGGAAGGCCGGUGGAAACUGUCGAGCUAGAGUCCGGAAGAGGCGAGUGGAAUUCCCGGUGUAGCGGUGAAAUGCGCAGAUAUCAGGAGGAACACCAAUAGCGAAGGCAGCUCGCUGGGACGGUACUGACGCUAAGGCGCGAAAGCGUGGGGAGCGAACAGG
Molecule: ribosomal RNA, 253 nt
Filed under: uncultured bacterium
Lineage: Bacteria
Description: partial 16S ribosomal RNA
Rfam family: Bacterial small subunit ribosomal RNA
Source: RNAcentral